RNAcentral lists this long non-coding RNA (2045 nucleotides) under Bemisia tabaci. RNAcentral's name for it is "lncRNA ENSSSA3NGG002638". Lineage: Eukaryota; Metazoa; Arthropoda; Insecta; Hemiptera; Aleyrodidae. The record is from RNAcentral.
CGAACAGCAGAGUCAGUUGGUAGACAAUAUGUCAAUACGACUUCCACUACUAUUUUGUGUUUUGUGUGUGUUGUGCAUUUUUCCUACUUUAAUUAAUGCCAAUGGGGCUGAGAUAUAUGAGGCGCGGGUGAAGAAACUACAGGAAUACCACGAGAAAGAUCCAUGUUCGCUCAAACAUCAUCCAUGGGAAAAUUGUCGUGACGCAAUGAACCUGUUCAACAAAAUACCUAAGGACAAACGCGGCUUUUGCAACCAUGUGGUCGGCUUUGACUGCAGUAACAAUCAUUGCCGGUUUCGUAUUGCUAUUGAAAUGGAACAACGAGAGAAAAGUUGACCUCGUGCUUAGAGGAAGCAGGAAUACAUCCAGCGAAGAAGCGUUGGAACAUUAAGAAGGGUUGGAAUGCAGCACGGAAAAUGAUUACCGGAACGAAAAAGGACACAAGAAAAAUGCUCAUCAGCAUGAGGACCACCAAGAUGGAGACCCCAGACACGAGGAUUCGACAGACGAGGGCCCCUAAAACGGGGAUCCCAAAGACGGGGAGCACAAUGGAUAAAGACCUAAACAAGAAGCCAAUUCUCUAUGGGAGGCUUUCAGGAAAAAUGAAAAGCUGUCCGUGCAUUAUUGAAAUUUUCGGCGCAGCGUACAGCGUACACCCGUGUGCGAUUUUAGAAAAAUCAAGGACAACACAUGGUAUGGAAAUUGAGGCACUAUGAUGCGCGCCAUUUUUACCGAAAAAUGUUUCUCAAUAUAUUUUCUUCUUCAUCAAAUAACAUCAAAGAGCAUAUUGUUUUCCUUUUUAUGUUUGGAGGAAACUUAUUAUGUCAGUCAUCGCCUUAAUUGGGGGGGGGGGGGUGUGAAUUUCGAAGAAAGUUGACAUACUUUAAAGCUCAAGAAUUAUUUAUGCUGCUGCUUACCCCCCUGCUCCCCCUCCCCCCCACCAAAAAAAAAUUCGAACCAUCAAUACCAUCAUCGGAAUGAACUUAUACUCUCGUCUAUCUCUCGUCCAAACGCGCCGAUUUUUCAAGCGCUGUGAAACUUCACUUAAUUAGUAAAGUUCACGUCUCGCAAAAAAUGAUAUGAGGGCUUUUACGUCUUUGAACUAAAUAGUAGUUGGUUAUUUUAAAUCAUCGUAACUUAAUCUCUGCCAAAGUCACCCAGUAGAUUUGUGCUUUUUUCACAACGGUGGCACAGCAACCUCUGUGCGCAAUUUUUACAUUUUGAGCUUGUCUGAAACUUUGUAAAAUUACGAGCUUUGAGUACCAAAAUGCCAGCACAUUUCAACCUCAAAAUACUGACCUUGACAAGAAAUUGCAUCGUUAUCUUCAUCCAAACCCACGUAGUUUUGAACAAUCCGGUAUUAUUGACAAGCAUGGAGAAUGCUGUUCAUAUAUGUAACGCUCUAGGGGUGUAUGGGUCUUCAUAAUUUUGUGACCAAACGUGAUAAUGGGUGGGGUACAUUGUCAAGAUCAUUUCUUAAUGGUAUGUAUUUUAUAUUGGAUUUCAAAUUUUUUUUUCUUAGUGUAUUUUUCAUUUUUCAGUUUUACAUGCAAGUGUUUUUUCUGAUUCUAUCUUGUUUCUUGAAACACAGCCUUCUAAUUAACAGAAACAAUGCCCUCACCCAUUUCUAGUGAGAAAAUUAAAAUAUCACUUUAAAAAAAUCGUCGGGAAAAAAGUACAUUAUAGGACGAUGGUGACCUUCUUUCAAAAUAAUCCAAAGAAAAUUUGACUCCACCCCUCUCUUCUCGGUAGAUACCUACUUUCCAUCUUCCUGAGAGGAUGAUGUUUAGAUUAUUUACUUUAUCCUCAUUUUUAUAUCUCUUCAGAGCCAAUUUUCUCUCUCAUGUACUUUUUAUUAAUUUUUUCAAACUGGUACUUGAGAAAUUUGUUCCUAUUUAUUUCCUCCUUUUCUUCAAAAUGUGUCAUACAUGCACUACCACUUCAUUGUUUCUAGUGUUCAUUUUUCCACUUGUAUUUUUCUCAACAUUUCUUUUCAACUAUUCUUCCCUUAAAAUGCAUAUAUUUCAUGAGUUACUGCUUCAAAUAC